GUCAGGUUCAGUGGUGAACACCUGAAGCCCUAGCAACUCAGAAAGCUAAGGCAAGAGGAUUGCUUGAACCCAGGAGUUCUAGGCUGUAGCGCAUUAUGCCAGUUUGGUGUCCACACUAGGUUUGGCAUCCACAUGGUGACAUCCUGGGAGCAGGAGACCAACAGUUUGCCUAAGGAGAAGUGAACUGGCCUGGGUCAGAAAUGUAGCAGGUCACAACCCAUGCUGAUUAGUAGUGGGAUCAUGCGUAUGAAUAGUCCCUGCACUCCAGCUUGGCCAAUAUAGUGAGACUCUGUCUCUA
Molecule: non-coding RNA, 298 nt
Organism: Otolemur garnettii (small-eared galago)
Lineage: Eukaryota; Metazoa; Chordata; Mammalia; Primates; Galagidae
Source: Rfam